This 471-nucleotide ribosomal RNA is filed under the name uncultured organism. RNAcentral's name for it is "partial 16S ribosomal RNA". It matches the Rfam family "Bacterial small subunit ribosomal RNA", at positions 333 to 800 of the family's 1533-position model. The record is from RNAcentral.
ACACUCCUACGGGAGGCAGCAGUGAGGAAUAUUGGACAAUGGGUGGAAGCCUGAUCCAGCCAUCCCGCGUGCAGGAAGACGGCCCUAUGGGUUGUAAACUGCUUUUAUCUGGGGAUAAACCUACUUACGUGUAAGUAGCUGAAGGUACCAGAAGAAUAAGCACCGGCUAACUCCGUGCCAGCAGCCGCGGUAAUACGGAGGGUGCAAGCGUUAUCCGGAUUUAUUGGGCUUAAAGGGUCCGUAGGCGGACUGAUAAGUCAGUGGUGAAAUCCGACAGCUUAACUGUCGAACUGCCAUUGAUACUGUUAGUCUUGAGUAAGGUUGAAGUGGCUGGAAUAAGUAGUGUAGCGGUGAAAUGCAUAGAUAUUACUUAGAACACCAAUUGCGAAGGCAGGUCACUAAGUCUUAACUGACGCUGAUGGACGAAAGCGUGGGGAGCGAACAGGAUUAGAAACCCCUGUAGUCCCAUGA